This is a small nuclear RNA of Heterocephalus glaber (naked mole-rat), 101 nucleotides long. NCBI's taxonomy places the organism in Eukaryota, Metazoa, Chordata, Mammalia, Rodentia, Bathyergidae. The record is from Ensembl.
GUGCUCACUUUGGCAGCAUAUAUACCAAAAUUGGAAUGAUACAGAGAAGGUUAUCACAGCCCUUAUACAAGGAUGACACUCAAAAAUAUGACAUUGUUUUU